AUCAGGAUGGGGAUGGUUUAACACUAGGAGAGGAGGUGGAACAGUGCAAUGCGUUUCUCUCCAGGAUUGCAGUGACCACAAAACACUAAAGCAGGGCGCACAGACAUGCUGACUCUCAUGGCCAUGCGCUGGAAUCAAGCAAAGUUUAACAAUUUGGCCACCGCACUGAGCCGCCAAUAUCAGAAGCAACAACAACAACCACUACAAAUGAUGUUGAUGCUUUGGCCAGCAGAAUUUAGGUGCUGUUGGCGAGUUUUAAGAGGCGUUCCCAGCGUCUCUAUAAAGAUACAGAUGGCAACAAAGGUCGUGCCAGGAUCCGUCGCGAGAUCAGGGAAGAGAAGGAGAUCCUGACAUCAUUUGUGGAGAAAUACAACAUAAUGGUUCCAAAAACAGAAACUCUGUGUCUGGUAAGACAGCUUGGU
Molecule: long non-coding RNA, 422 nt
Organism: Silurus meridionalis
Lineage: Eukaryota; Metazoa; Chordata; Actinopteri; Siluriformes; Siluridae
Exons: 3
Source: RefSeq, a predicted model, not a curated record